This 372-nucleotide ribosomal RNA is filed under the name uncultured soil bacterium. RNAcentral describes it as "bacterial SSU rRNA". It matches the Rfam family "Bacterial small subunit ribosomal RNA", at positions 26 to 388 of the family's 1533-position model. The record is from RNAcentral.
AGAUUGAACGCUAGCGGGAUGCUUUACACAUGCAAGUCGAACGGCAGCGCGGACUUCGGUCUGGCGGCGAGUGGCGAACGGGUGAGUAAUAUAUCGGAACGUGCCCAGUAGCGGGGGAUAACUACGCGAAAGCGUGGCUAAUACCGCAUACGCCCUACGGGGGAAAGGGGGGGAUCGCAAGACCUCUCACUAUUGGAGCGGCCGAUAUCAGAUUAGCUAGUUGGUGAGGUAAGGCUCACCGAAGGCGACGAUCUGUAGCUUGGUUGAGAGGACGACCAGCCAACACUGGGACUGAGACGACGGCCCAGACUCCGUACGGGACGCAGCGAAGGUGGGGAAUUUGGGAACUAAGGUACGGGGGAAACCCUGAAC